This 441-nucleotide ribosomal RNA is filed under the name uncultured Neocallimastigomycetes. Its description in RNAcentral is "LSU rRNA". It matches the Rfam family "Eukaryotic large subunit ribosomal RNA", at positions 107 to 542 of the family's 3401-position model. Lineage: Eukaryota; Fungi; Neocallimastigomycota; Neocallimastigomycetes. The record is from RNAcentral.
GCUCAAAUUUGAAAUCUUCAAGGGUUUCCCUUUACGAAUUGUAGUUUAAAGAAGUGUUUUCUGUUGAGGUUUUGGUAAAAGUUCUUUGGAAUUGGACAUCAUAGAGGGUGAGAAUCCCGUAUUUGACCUUUACUUUCAACUUUGUGAUACACUUUCAAAGAGUCGGAUUGUUUGGGAAUGCAGUCCAAAAUGGGUGGUAAAUUUCAUCUAAAGCUAAAUAUUGGCGAGAGACCGAUAGCGAACAAGUACCGUGAGGGAAAGAUGAAAAGAACUUUGAAAAGAGAGUUAAACAGUACGUGAAAUUGUCAAAAGGGAAGCGUUUGACACCAGUGUUGUUUUUCUGAGAAUCAAUUAAAGAACUGUUUAUGCUAAGCUGUUUAGACUUUAUCAGCUAUCUGUUUAGUUUUGAGCUUUUCUUUAAUGCACUUUUCAGUUAACAAG